This 465-nucleotide ribosomal RNA is filed under the name Vreelandella stevensii. Its description in RNAcentral is "partial 16S ribosomal RNA". It matches the Rfam family "Bacterial small subunit ribosomal RNA", at positions 338 to 795 of the family's 1533-position model. The record is from RNAcentral. Lineage: Bacteria; Pseudomonadati; Pseudomonadota; Gammaproteobacteria; Oceanospirillales; Halomonadaceae.
CCUACGGGCGGCAGCAGUGGGGAAUAUUGGACAAUGGGCGAAAGCCUGAUCCAGCCAUGCCGCGUGUGUGAAGAAGGCCUUCGGGUUGUAAAGCACUUUCAGUGGGGAAGAAAGCCUUGGGGCUAAUACCCUCGAGGAAGGACAUCACCCACAGAAGAAGCACCGGCUAACUCCGUGCCAGCAGCCGCGGUAAUACGGAGGGUGCGAGCGUUAAUCGGAAUUACUGGGCGUAAAGCGCGCGUAGGCGGUCUGAUAAGCCGGUUGUGAAAGCCCCGGGCUCAACCUGGGAACGGCAUCCGGAACUGUCAGGCUAGAGUGCAGGAGAGGAAGGUAGAAUUCCCGGUGUAGCGGUGAAAUGCGUAGAGAUCGGGAGGAAUACCAGUGGCGAAGGCGGCCUUCUGGACUGACACUGACGCUGAGGUGCGAAAGCGUGGGUAGCAAAUAGGAUUAGAUACCCUUGUAGUC